GAUGAACGCUGGCGGCGUGCCUAAUACAUGCAAGUCGAGCGAACAGACGAGGAUCUUGCUCCUCUGACGUUAGCGGCGGACGGGUGAGUAACACGUGGAUAACCUCCCUAUAAGACUGGGAUAACUUCGGGAAACCGGAGCUAAUACCGGAUAAUAUCUUGAACCGCAUGGUUCAAUAGUGAAAGACGGUUUUGCUGUCACUUCUAGAUGGAUCCGCGCCGCAUUAGCUAGUUGGUAAGGUAACGGCUUACCAAGGCGACGAUGCGUAGCCGACCUGAGAGGGUGAUCGGCCACACUGGAACUGAGACACGGUCCAGACUCCUACGGGAGGCAGCAGUAGGGAAUCUUCCGCAAUGGGCGAAAGCCUAACGGAGCAACGCCGCGUGAGUGAUGAAGGUCUUCGGAUCGUAAAACUCUGUUAUUAGGGAAGAACAAAUGUGUAAGUAACUAUGCACGUCUUGACGGUACCUAAUCAGAAAGCCACGGCUAACUACGUG
RNAcentral lists this ribosomal RNA (497 nucleotides) under uncultured bacterium. RNAcentral's name for it is "partial 16S ribosomal RNA". It matches the Rfam family "Bacterial small subunit ribosomal RNA", at positions 28 to 507 of the family's 1533-position model. The record is from RNAcentral.